This 500-nucleotide unclassified non-coding RNA is filed under the name uncultured Glomus. RNAcentral describes it as "SSU rRNA". It matches the Rfam family "Eukaryotic small subunit ribosomal RNA", at positions 591 to 1092 of the family's 1831-position model. The record is from RNAcentral. Lineage: Eukaryota; Fungi; Glomeromycota; Glomeromycetes; Glomerales; Glomeraceae.
CCAAUAGCGUAUAUUAAAGUUGUUGCAGUUAAAAAGCUCGUAGUUGAACUUCGGGAUCAAUGGGUCGGUCAUGCCGUCGGUAUGUACUGAUUUUAUUGGUUCUCACCUUCUAAGGAACCGUAAUGUCAUUAGUUUGAUGUUGCGGGGAAUUAGGACUGUUACCUUGAAAAAAUUAGAGUGUUUAAAGCAGGCUAACGCUUGAAUACAUUAGCAUGGAAUAAUGAAAUAGGACAUCAGAUUCUAUUUUGUUGGUUUCUAGGUUCGAUGUAAUGAUUAAUAGGGAUAGUUGGGGGCAUUAGUAUUCAAUUGUCAGAGGUGAAAUUCUUGGAUUUAUUUAAGACUAACUACUGCGAAAGCAUUUGCCAAGGAUGUUUUCAUUAAUCAAGAACGAAAGUUAGGGGAUCGAAGACGAUCAGAUACCGUCGUAGUCUUAACCAUAAACUAUGCCGACUAGGGAUCGGAUGAUGUUAAUUUUUUAAUGACUCAUUCGGCACCUUACG